Molecule: ribosomal RNA, 474 nt
Filed under: uncultured bacterium
Lineage: Bacteria
Description: partial 16S ribosomal RNA
Rfam family: Bacterial small subunit ribosomal RNA
Source: RNAcentral
GACGAACGCUGGCGGCGUGCUUAACACAUGCAAGUCGAACGGUAAGGCCCUUCGGGGUACACGAGUGGCGAACGGGUGAGUAACACGUGGGUAAUCUGCCCUGCACAUCGGGAUAAGCCUGGGAAACUGGGUCUAAUACCGAAUAGGACCACAGGACACAUGUCCUGUGGUGGAAAGCUUUUGCGGUGUUGGAUGGGCCCGCGGCCUAUCAGCUUGUUGGUGGGGUGAUGGCCUACCAAGGCGACGACGGGUAGCCGGCCUGAGAGGGUGUCCGGCCACACUGGGACUGAGAUACGGCCCAGACUCCUACGGGAGGCAGCAGUGGGGAAUAUUGCACAAUGGGCGAAAGCCUGAUGCAGCGACGCCGCGUGGGGGAUGACGGCCUUCGGGUUGUAAACCUCUUUCACCAUCGACGAAGGUCCGGGUUUUCUCGGGCUGACGGUAGGUGGAGAAGAAGCACCGGCCAACUACGUG